This 1268-nucleotide ribosomal RNA is filed under the name Clostridioides difficile. RNAcentral describes it as "bacterial LSU rRNA". It matches the Rfam family "Bacterial large subunit ribosomal RNA", at positions 786 to 2072 of the family's 2925-position model. Lineage: Bacteria; Bacillati; Bacillota; Clostridia; Peptostreptococcales; Peptostreptococcaceae. The record is from RNAcentral.
GCGUUGAAAAGCUCGGGGAUGACUUGUGGGUAGCGGUGAAAUUCCAAUCGAGCCCGGAGAUAGCUGGUUCUCCCCGAAAUAGCUUUAGGGCUAGCCUCAAGGUGAGAGAUACGGAGGUAGAGCACUGAAUGUCCUAGGGGGUAUUGCACCUACCGAAGACUAUCAAACUCCGAAUGCCGUCAUCUUAUACUUGGGAGUCAGACUGUGGGUGAUAAGAUUCAUAGUCGAAAGGGCAACAGCCCAGAUCGUCAGCUAAGGUCCCUAAAUGUAAGUUAAGUGGUAAAGGAUGUGGGAUUGCACAGACAACCAGGAUGUUGGCUUAGAAGCAGCCACUCAUUCAAAGAGUGCGUAAUAGCUCACUGGUCGAGUGAUCCUGCGCCGAAGAUUUCCGGGGCUAAAACUUACUACCGAAGCUACGGCAUCAGUAAUGAUGGGUAGGGGAGCUUCCCAUACGGGUUGAAGCAUGACCGUAAGGACAUGUGGACAGUAUGGGAGUGAGAAUGUUGGCAUGAGUAGCGAGAUGUGGGUGAGAAUCCCACAGGCCGUAAACCCAAGGUUUCCAGGGGAAGGUUCGUCCGCCCUGGGUUAGUCGGGACCUAAGCUGAGGCCGAAAGGCGUAGGUGAUGGACAACAGGUUGAUAUUCCUGUACUACCGAUAACCGUUUGAGAGAAGGGAUGACACAGUAGGAUAAGCUAAGCACACUGUUGGUUAUGUGUGCCCAAGCAUUGAGGCAGUCAAAGUAGGCAAAUCCGCUUUGAUAAUGCUGGGGUGUGAUGGGGAGCGAAAUUUAGUAGCGAAGUAGCUGAUUUCACACUGUCAAGAAAAGUCUCUAUCGAGGUUAAAGGUACCCGUACCGCAAACCGACACAGGUGGGUGAGGAGAGUAUCCUAAGGCCAGCGAGAGAACUGUUGUUAAGGAACUCGGCAAAAUGACCCCGUAACUUAGGGAUAAGGGGUGCCACCAUCAGGUGGCCGCAGAGAAUAGGCCCAAGCGACUGUUUACCAAAAACAUAGGUUUCUGCUAAGUCGCAAGACGAUGUAUAGGAGCUGACGCCUGCCCGGUGCUGGAAGGUUAAGGGGAUCUGUUAGAGCAAUCGAAGCAGUGAACUUAAGCCCCAGUAAACGGCGGCCGUAACUAUAACGGUCCUAAGGUAGCGAAAUUCCUUGUCGGGUAAGUUCCGACCCGCACGAAAGGCGUAACGAUUUGGGCACUGUCUCAACAACAGACUCGGUGAAAUUGUAAUUCCGGUGAAGAUGCCGGAUACCUG